AGGAUAAACGCUGGCGGCGUGCCUAACACAUGCAAGUCGAACGUCUCUUCUUUCGGGAAGAGGAGUGGCGGACGGGUGAGGAACACGUGGGAACCUGCCCUUCAGUGAGGAAUACCGGCGAGAAAUCGCCGACAAGACCGCAUAGCCCUCUCUGGUGAGAGCCAGAGAAGGAAAGCCUCGCAAGAGGCGCUGGAGGAGGGGCCUGCGUCCGAUUAGCUAGUUGGUGGGGUAAGAGCCUACCAAGGCGUCGAUCGGUAGCUGGUCUGAGAGGACGAUCAGCCACACUGGGAUUGAGAACGGCCCAGACUCCUACGGGGGCAGCAGUGAGGAAUUUUCGGCAAUGGGGGAAACCCUGACCGAGCAACGCCGCGUGCAGGAAGACGGCCUUCGGGUUGUAAACUGCUUUUCUUUGGGUACGAGCAAGGACGGUACCAGAGGAAUCAGCCCGGCUCACUACGUGCCAGCAGCCGC
This 471-nucleotide ribosomal RNA is filed under the name uncultured bacterium. RNAcentral describes it as "SSU rRNA". It matches the Rfam family "Bacterial small subunit ribosomal RNA", at positions 26 to 518 of the family's 1533-position model. The record is from RNAcentral.